UGCUGUCCUGUCUCCAUCGCAUCCCCUUCUGUACUGCUGAGGUUUUAAGUAGACGUAUGUGUGAUACUCUUGCAAUAAACUAACUAGGUAACAAAAAAAACUAAAUGAAAACUUAGGUGAUGAAAGGAGUUCCUAUCCAGAUCAAAUACUCCCAUGUGCCUGUACUUCCUUCUAUAGUUUUAUCAGCUUCUCUCACCUUUUGAAGAUUCCUACACUUCAUUUCAAUUCAAUUAAAAUCAACUUACAUGCUCCAAUUACAGAUAGCAUAUUCUAAUUUUUACCAUGGGACCUGGAGACAAAUUUUAACAUCCCUCCCACCCCCACCAAACACAAGUUUAUCCAGGCUCAUUUACUGAGGUCUCUGAAGUCAGGCUGUGUAACUACAGAGAAACUGCUAAACUUCUCUGUGGCUCUCAUUCCUUCUUCUAUAAAAUUGUAAUGGUAACAAUAAUAACAUAUCCCCUAGGGGUGGUGUGAGAAUUAAGUGAAUACACAUAGCACUUAGAACAGUGCCUAAUAUAGCAAACAAGGCUUUGCAUACUAUUAUUAUUCAUUCAACAAUCAUUUGUGGAAGGGCUCUGAUAUACCAGAUACUGGGGCAGGUCCUGGGCAGAGGCUGUGGAUGCUCCUUGUGCUUCCCCCACCCCUCGCACAAUGCCUGCCGCAUCAGGGGUCCUUAAUAGAUAGUUACUCAAUGGGAUUGUCCAAAGUCAACCAACCCAUGGAUAAAACCAAUCAGCCCUGACAUUAUGGUUUCCAGUCUGGUGCUGGAGAUGCAAAGGUGAUGGCUUUAUUUCCCAGUAUUAAAUCUUUAGAGAAAAAAGUAUCCCAGUAUUAAAUCUUUUGAGAAGCUUCGAUCGGCACCUUGGGAGAGAAUGGCCCAGUGAGCAAAGAUGGGCCAAGUCUGAAGCCCACACACUUAUCCUUCAUGUGUGUGAAUGAGGUGGACCCACCUGGAGGAAUACAACAUCCCCUUGGGGCAAUUCAUCAGUUGUAAGAGACGCGUCGCUCUGAGAAAACGGAAUGCAAGGAAGACAGGCACUGCAGGUUGGGUAGACACACC
RNAcentral lists this long non-coding RNA (1063 nucleotides) under Mustela putorius furo (domestic ferret). Its description in RNAcentral is "lncRNA (ENSMPUG00000027906.1)". Lineage: Eukaryota; Metazoa; Chordata; Mammalia; Carnivora; Mustelidae. The record is from RNAcentral.